This 391-nucleotide unclassified non-coding RNA is filed under the name soil metagenome. RNAcentral's name for it is "partial contains 5.8S ribosomal RNA, internal transcribed spacer 2, and large subunit ribosomal RNA". The stretch from base 1 to 122 matches the Rfam family "5.8S ribosomal RNA", at positions 35 to 154 of the family's 154-position model. The record is from RNAcentral.
GAUGAAGAACGUAGCGAAAUGCGAUACUUGGUGUGAAUUGCAGAAUCCCGUGAACCAUCGAGUCUUUGAACGCAAGUUGCGCCCGAAGCCAUUAGGCCGAGGGCACGCCUUCCUGGGCGUCACACGUCGUUGCCCCCCCAUCUACUCCUUCGGGAUUGCGGGGGGCGGAUGAUGGCCUCCCGUGCGCCUCGUCGCGCGGUUGGCAUAAAUGCCAAGUCCUCGGCGACGCACGCCACGACAAUCGGUGGUUGCGAAACCUCGGUUGCCCGUCGUGUGCGGUCGUCGCGCAUCGAGGGCUCGAAAAAAUUGCCGGGCUCCGGCUCGGCUUUCAACGCGACCCCAGGUCAGGCGGGGUUACCCGCUGAAUUUAAGCAUAUCAAUAAGCGGAGGA